This 1564-nucleotide long non-coding RNA is filed under the name Heterocephalus glaber (naked mole-rat). Its description in RNAcentral is "lncRNA (ENSHGLG00000041824.1)". Lineage: Eukaryota; Metazoa; Chordata; Mammalia; Rodentia; Bathyergidae. The record is from RNAcentral.
CGCCAAAGCUGGCUGUCCCCUUCCUGUGGUCAUUUAGCAGCCUGGCGACGAGGAGAGCUGAGCAGGGCCGCUGCGGUGGUGCCCUCUCCGGGGCUCUAAGCUCUGGAGACAGCCCGGCUCCGGAUCCCCACCUUGACCAGACCCCCUGCCCCUCCCCACCCCUCUCGGCUAAAUGCAGCCCCUGCAGCCGAAUUGCAGCGCCGGCCUGGGCCACGCAUCUCAACCCCUGUGACAAUCCUGAUGUCCUGCGCAAAUCUCCUAGACCGACCCUCCAGCUGCAGUGACUCCUCGAUUGGUCCCGAGCGGGAUGGCAUCGUCGCCAGGCUGUUGCAGACAGCUAAGGGUGAGAUUCGGCCCGAGGAAGCUGUGGGGAGCGGCUGAGUCUCCGAAGAGCAGCAGUGGCUGUUGACUGCUGGACUGAGUGUUACCUGUGUCUUCUUUGACUGAAACCCUCAUUUCCGGUCACCCGGGGCUUCCGGUGCUGCCUGCAGCUGUCAGCCGUCUUCUGAAGGCCCCUGUGCGGCGGAAGCCGGGUCCCGCUCCCGGAAGUCACCGCGGGUGGCUCUUCGGGUCAGGCUGCAGCUGUCUUCCUUCUCGUUGUUCAUCUCCACCGAGGCAAAAGACAGAAGAGAGGGAGAAAUCCAGCAGGCCUCCCCCCAGACCUUCCAAGGGUGCAGGUCCGGGUCCCUGCUUUGACGGCAGCGCCAGGUCCUGGGAAACCUGCGCCCCUGCCCCAGAAAGCUGGUCGCGCUCUCGGACUUGUGGAGCAGUCGCAGCCCAGGAAGAAAAGUCGAAGACUUGAGGGGGCAACAGCGCAGGGACCACUGUGGCGCCCCGGGGGCCUGCGGUUCCCAGGGCCGCUCCCACCCGCCCCUAGCAACGGCCCACCGGCCCACCCUAGGGACAGCGAGUUCGAGGCCAGCCUGGGCUACUUAGCGAGUUGCUGCCUCAAAAAAAGAGGCCAGGUUGGAGGAGGUCACAGUGACAGUGACGAGGCAGAAGGCGAAGGGAGAGCAACCUCCCCCACGGCUGUGCCCCAAAAGACUGAAACUGGCAGUGCCAGCCUGGCGUGGUGGUGCAUGCCUGUCAUUCCGGCACUCUGGAAGGCUGAAGCAGGAGGAUGGCAAGUUGUAGACCAGCCCAGAAGGGGUCCAGCUAAUCGAUGCAGACGGAAUGGUGGGGAAGAUGACCACCCAGGGACUUCCAGCUGGCCUGGGUGCUGAGCAUCAACGGCUGCUGGUGUGACACUUGGAAGCCACUAGACAUCAUGGCCUCCUGGGCAGAAUGCAUGUUCUGCGAGGAUCGAACUUCGGACCUUGCACUUGCGAGGCAGUUGCCGGAACCACUGAGCUAAAUCCCUGGUCCUUACGUCACAGUUUUGUAAUCAUCAGAAUCUAGAUGUGGCUAAUCUGUAAUAUCCAUGGUGUGGCUACUUUGAUGACCAAUUGUCAAAAAAAAAAAAGGUAAAAGGUAAAAGGUGAAGCUUGCAUUAAAGGGGAUUUCAGGACAUCAACCAAUCACAAUGUGGUCAUCUCAUGUAGCUCUUGAGUUUGUGAAACUGAAU